AGUAUUUGACCCCCCACUAGUAUGUGUUCUCUACUUUCUCAGUUUUCAUUCACCAAUUGUUCUCUAAUUCGUCAUCCUAAUUUAGAAUUACGUGACAUAGUUCCGCAGCAGUACAGAGGAUUUAGUGCAGCAAGACCGUCUUCACGUGGACUCCGUGUGGACGACUUAGGUGCGUCAUCAAUACAUACAUUCUAUUCCAGUACAAAUACAGAUCGAAAUUGACAAUAACACUUCUUGGUUCGAUAACAGCGUACAUAGGCCGCGGAGGGACCGAUGACGAGUCCGUAGAGGACGAGAUCCACAGGACGAGUUCCGCAUCGGUAGACUCCUUUUACAGCUACGACACUGAGGAGAUAGGUCCUUCGCAGUUGGGUGACGCGCCAGUGCCUCCGACAUAGGACUACACCUAGGAGUUUGUGACACCAGCUGCAGACGCACCAGGACGUUCGCCUCGCAAGGUUGCCCCUCCGGAG
Molecule: long non-coding RNA, 473 nt
Filed under: Setaria italica (foxtail millet)
Lineage: Eukaryota; Viridiplantae; Streptophyta; Magnoliopsida; Poales; Poaceae
Description: long non-coding RNA (SITA_LNC001626)
Source: RNAcentral